GACGAACGCUGGCGGCGUGCCUAACACAUGCAAGUCAACUUGACUGAAGGAGCAAUCUGACAGUAGAGUGGCGCAAGGGUGCGUAACGCGUAAGUAACUUGCCCCAAGGUAAGGAAUAACGUCGAGAAAUCGGCGCUAAUACCUCAUAAUGCAGCGGAUCCGCAUGGAUAUGUUGUUAAAGGUUUACCGCCUUGGGAUAGGCUUGCGUCUGAUUAGCUAGUUGGUGUGGUAACGGCACACCAAGGCUACGAUCAGUAACUGGUCUGAGAGGAUGAUCAGUCACACUGGAACUGAGACACGGUCCAGACUCCUACGGGAGGCAGCAGUGAGGAAUAUUGGGCAAUGCUCGAAAGAGUGACCCAGCAACGCCGCGUGGAGGAUGAAGGUAUUCUAUAUCGUAAACUCCUGUGAGAGCAGACGAAAGACAGAUUAUUAAUCUGGAUGACUGUAUGCUCAGAGGAAGCCCCGGC
RNAcentral lists this ribosomal RNA (470 nucleotides) under uncultured bacterium. Its description in RNAcentral is "bacterial SSU rRNA". It matches the Rfam family "Bacterial small subunit ribosomal RNA", at positions 28 to 497 of the family's 1533-position model. The record is from RNAcentral.